AUGUCCUUCCAGAUGUACUAUGUGAACCAGGAGCUUACUGUUGAGGAUUUUCUUUAUGAGGAUGAUUACAAGAUAAGCCUUCCCGGGACCAAUCAAGAAAUCCUCAAUAACCUUCAAGGGAUUGCUCACCAAGAAUAUCCGCAGUUCAAUUUGACACAAGAGUUACCCCCUAAUGCAUAUGUUGAUAUGAACAACAAUGGGAAGAAUGCUGGAGAUGUUUUCGUCGAGAUGUCAGACUUCCUCACAACAAUGUCUCCGGCACCUGCUUCAUUCCUAAGGCCGAAAGGGUCCUCCAGGGCUCAAGGCACAAUGCAUGUGAUCCGCCCAAGAGGUAUUGAUCUAAAAGAUGACCCUUUGUUUGUUGCUCUUAGUGUGAAAAUCCAAGGAAAGCAUGUUCGUGUUCCUGUCUGUGAAGGGGCUGCUACUACGAAAUUGUCUUGGGAUGCACCUAAACUUUUCGAGCUUUACAUAUUUGAAGGUGAAUCUAUGAGAGGAUGGCUUUUCUUUGACAAACCAAUAAGGGCGUUCGAUAGUGGAAACCGGAAGCAGAGCUCACUGCCAAAUUACAACAGCCGUGGCUGGCAUGAAUCAAGGAAGCAAGUGAUGAAAGACUUUGGGGGUCUGAAGAGAUCAUACUACAUGGAUCCACAACCAUCUAGCAGCUACGAAGAAGAAAGUUGUUGCUCCAGUUCUUUCUACUAG
RNAcentral lists this ribosomal RNA (702 nucleotides) under Triticum aestivum (bread wheat). Its description in RNAcentral is "partial small subunit ribosomal RNA". Lineage: Eukaryota; Viridiplantae; Streptophyta; Magnoliopsida; Poales; Poaceae. The record is from RNAcentral.